ACUCCGUACGGGAGGCAGCAGUGGGGAAUAUUGGACAAUGGGCGAAAGCCUGAUCCAGCAAUGCCGCGUGAGUGAUGAAGGCCCUAGGUUGUAAGCUCUUUUACCCGGGAAGAUAAUGACUGUACCGGGAGAAUAAGCCCCGGCUAACUCCGUGCCAGCAGCCGCGGUAAUACGGAGGGGGCUAGCGUUUGUUUCGGAAUUUACUGGGCGUAAAGCGCACGUAGGCGGCUUUUGUAAGUCAGAGGUGAAAGCCUGGAGCUCAACUCCAGAACUGCCUUUGAGACUGCAUCGCUUGAAUCCAGGAGAGGUCAGUGGAAUUCCGAGUGUAGAGGUGAAAUUCGUAGAUAUUCGGAAGAACACCAGUGGCGAAGGCGGCUGACUGGACAGAUACUGACACUCAGAUGCGAAAGCGUGGGGAGCAAACAGGAUUAGAUACCCUGGUAGCACAGAG
Molecule: ribosomal RNA, 451 nt
Filed under: uncultured bacterium
Lineage: Bacteria
Description: bacterial SSU rRNA
Rfam family: Bacterial small subunit ribosomal RNA
Source: RNAcentral